RNAcentral lists this ribosomal RNA (492 nucleotides) under uncultured bacterium. RNAcentral describes it as "partial 16S ribosomal RNA". It matches the Rfam family "Bacterial small subunit ribosomal RNA", at positions 29 to 507 of the family's 1533-position model. The record is from RNAcentral.
AGUGAACGCUGGCGGUAGGCCUAACACAUGCAAGUCGAACGGCAGCACAGUAAGAGCUUGCUCUUACGGGUGGCGAGUGGCGGACGGGUGAGGAAUACAUCGGAAUCUACUUUUUCGUGGGGGAUAACGUAGGGAAACUUACGCUAAUACCGCAUACGACCUACGGGUGAAAGCAGGGGAUCUUCGGACCUUGCGCGAUUGAAUGAGCCGAUGUCGGAUUAGCUAGUUGGCGGGGUAAAGGCCCACCAAGGCGACGAUCCGUAGCUGGUCUGAGAGGAUGAUCAGCCACACUGGAACUGAGACACGGUCCAGACUCCUACGGGAGGCAGCAGUGGGGAAUAUUGGACAAUGGGCGCAAGCCUGUUCCAGCCAUACCGCGUGGGUGAAGAAGACCUUCGGGUUGUAAAGCCCUUUUGUUGGGAAAGAAAAGCAGCAGGUUAAUACCCCGCUGUUCUGACGGUACCUAAAGAAUAAGCACCGGCUAACUUCGUG